Molecule: non-coding RNA, 54 nt
Organism: Salmo salar (Atlantic salmon)
Lineage: Eukaryota; Metazoa; Chordata; Actinopteri; Salmoniformes; Salmonidae
Source: Rfam
AAUGCACCAAUUUGUAAGUCGCUCUGGAUAAGAGCGUUUGCUAAAUGAUGUAAA